This 460-nucleotide ribosomal RNA is filed under the name uncultured bacterium. Its description in RNAcentral is "partial 16S ribosomal RNA". It matches the Rfam family "Bacterial small subunit ribosomal RNA", at positions 338 to 795 of the family's 1533-position model. The record is from RNAcentral.
CCUACGGGAGGCAGCAGUGAGGAAUAUUGGUCAAUGGACGAGAGUCUGAACCAGCCAAGUAGCGUGAAGGAUGACUGACCUAUGGGUUGUAAACUUCUUUUAUAUGGGAAUAAAAUGUUCCACGUGUGGGAUUUUGUAUGUACCAUAUGAAUAAGGAUCGGCUAACUCCGUGCCAGCAGCCGCGGUAAUACGGAGGAUCCGAGCGUUAUCCGGAUUUAUUGGGUUUAAAGGGAGCGUAGGUGGUUUGUUAAGUCAGUUGUGAAAGUUUGCGGCUCAACCGUAAAAUUGCAGUUGAAACUGGCAGUCUUGAGUACAGUAGAGGUGGGCGGAAUUCGUGGUGUAGCGGUGAAAUGCUUAGAUAUCACGAAGAACUCCGAUUGCGAAGGCAGUUCACUGGACUGCAACUGACACUGAGGCUCGAAAGUGUGGGUAUCAAACAGGAUUAGAUACCCCAGUAGUC